UCCAGGCAAAUCCGGAUAAUCAAGGCUGAGGUGUGAUGACGAGGCACUACGGUGCUGAAGUAACAAAUGCCCUGCUUCCAGGAAAAGCCUCUAAGCAUCAGGUAACAUCAAAUCGUACCCCAAACCGACACAGGUGGUCAGGUAGAGAAUACCAAGGCGCUUGAGAGAACUCGGGUGAAGGAACUAGGCAAAAUGGUGCCGUAACUUCGGGAGAAGGCACGCUGGUGUGUAGGUGAAGUCCCUGCGGAUGGAGCUGAGACCAGUCGAAGAUACCAGCUGGCUGCAACUGUUUAUUAAAAACACAGCACUGUGCAAACACGAAAGUGGACGUAUACGGUGUGACGCCUGCCCGGUGCCGGAAGGUUAAUUGAUGGGGUUAUCCGUAAGGAGAAGCUCUUGAUCGAAGCCCCGGUAAACGGCGGCCGUAACUAUAACGGUCCUAAGGUAGCGAAAUUCCUUGUCGGGUAAGUUCCGACCUGCACGAAUGGCGUAAUGAUGGCCAGGCUGUCUCCACCCGAGACUCAGUGAAAUUGAACUCGCUGUGAAGAUGCAGUGUACCCGCGGCAAGACGGAAAGACCCCGUGAACCUUUACUAUAGCUUGACACUGAACAUUGAGCCUUGAUGUGUAGGAUAGGUGGGAGGCUUUGAAGCGUGGACGCCAGUCUGCGUGGAGCCAACCUUGAAAUACCACCCUUUAAUGUUUGAUGUUCUAACGUUGGCCCCUGACCGGGGUUGCGGACAGUGUCUGGUGGGUAGUUUGACUGGGGCGGUCUCCUCCCAAAGCGUAACGGAGGAGCACGAAGGUUAGCUAAUCCUGGUCGGACAUCAGGAGGUUAGUGCAAUGGCAUAAGCUAGCUUGACUGCGAGCGUGACGGCGCGAGCAGGUGCGAAAGCAGGUCAUAGUGAUCCGGUGGUUCUGAAUGGAAGGGCCAUCGCUCAACGGAUAAAAGGUACUCCGGGGAUAACAGGCUGAUACCGCCCAAGAGUUCAUAUCGACGGCGGUGUUUGGCACCUCGAUGUCGGCUCAUCACAUCCUGGGGCUGAAGUAGGUCCCAAGGGUAUGGCUGUUCGCCAUUUAAAGUGGUACGCGAGCUGGGUUUAGAACGUCGUGAGACAGUUCGGUCCCUAUCUGCCGUGGGCGCUGGAGAAUUGAGGGGGGCUGCUCCUAGUACGAGAGGACCGGAGUGGACGCAUCACUGGUGUUCGGGUUGUCAUGCCAAUGGCACUGCCCGGUAGCUAAAUGCGGAAGAGAUAAGUGCUGAAAGCAUCUAAGCACGAAACUUGCCCCGAGAUGAGUUCUCCCUGAGACUUUAAGUCUCCUGAAGGAACGUUAAAGACGAUGACGUUGAUAGGCCGGGUGUGUAAGCGCAGCGAUGCGUUGAGCUAACCGGUACUAAUGAACCGUGAGGCUUAACCUU
RNAcentral lists this ribosomal RNA (1419 nucleotides) under Klebsiella pneumoniae. Its description in RNAcentral is "bacterial LSU rRNA". It matches the Rfam family "Bacterial large subunit ribosomal RNA", at positions 1531 to 2925 of the family's 2925-position model. Lineage: Bacteria; Pseudomonadati; Pseudomonadota; Gammaproteobacteria; Enterobacterales; Enterobacteriaceae. RNAcentral also lists the same sequence under 4 other names. The record is from RNAcentral.